This 58-nucleotide unclassified non-coding RNA is filed under the name Leptotrichia shahii. Its description in RNAcentral is "CRISPR RNA from Leptotrichia shahii (PDB 7DMQ, chain B)". The record is from RNAcentral. Lineage: Bacteria; Fusobacteriati; Fusobacteriota; Fusobacteriia; Fusobacteriales; Leptotrichiaceae.
GGCCACCCCAAUAUCGAAGGGGACUAAAACUAGAUUGCUGUUCUACCAAGUAAUCCAU